GUGUUGGUAGUUUAGUGGUAACCAUAGUUGCCUUCCAAGCAGUUGACUUGGGUUUGAUUCCUGGCCAAUGCA
RNAcentral lists this transfer RNA (72 nucleotides) under Alligator mississippiensis (American alligator). It matches the Rfam family "tRNA". Rfam says of the family: Transfer RNA (tRNA) molecules are approximately 80 nucleotides in length. Their secondary structure includes four short double-helical elements and three loops (D, anti-codon, and T loops). Further hydrogen bonds mediate the characteristic L-shaped molecular structure. tRNAs have two regions of fundamental functional importance: the anti-codon, which is responsible for specific mRNA codon recognition, and the 3' end, to which the tRNAs corresponding amino acid is attached (by aminoacyl-tRNA synthetases). tRNAs cope with the degeneracy of the genetic code in two manners: having more than one tRNA (with a specific anti-codon) for a particular amino acid; and 'wobble' base-pairing, i.e. permitting non-standard base-pairing at the 3rd anti-codon position. The record is from Rfam by way of RNAcentral. Lineage: Eukaryota; Metazoa; Chordata; Crocodylia; Alligatoridae.